GGUUGGUGGAGUGAUUUGUCUGGUUGAUUCCGAUAACGAACGAGACCUCAGCCUACUAAUUAGCCGGUGUUAUCUUUGGAUAAUAUCCGCGUUUUACUUCUUAGAGGGACUAUGUGCGAAUAGCACAUGGAAGUUUGAGGCAAGAACAGG
RNAcentral lists this ribosomal RNA (150 nucleotides) under uncultured eukaryote. RNAcentral describes it as "partial small subunit ribosomal RNA". It matches the Rfam family "Eukaryotic small subunit ribosomal RNA", at positions 1296 to 1460 of the family's 1831-position model. The record is from RNAcentral.